Molecule: ribosomal RNA, 513 nt
Filed under: uncultured bacterium
Lineage: Bacteria
Description: partial 16S ribosomal RNA
Rfam family: Bacterial small subunit ribosomal RNA
Source: RNAcentral
GACGAACGCUGGCGGCAUGCCUAAUACAUGCAAGUCGAGCGAACAGAUGAAGUGCUUGCGCUUCUGACGUUAGCGGCGAACGGGUGAGUAACACGUAAGGAAUCUACCUAUAAGCGGGGGAUAACAUUCGGAAACGGGUGCUAAUACCGCAUAAUAUCUUCUUCCGCAUGGAAGAAGAUUGAAAGACGGCUCUGCUGUCACUUAUAGAUGACCUUGCGGUGCAUUAGUUAGUUGGUGGGGUAAUGGCCUACCAAGACGAUGAUGCAUAGCCGACCGGAGCGGGUGAUCGGCCAAAUGGGGACUGAGACACGGCCCAAACUCCUACGGGAGGAAGCAGUAGGGAAGCUUCCGCAAUGGGCGAAAGCCUGACGGAGCAAUGCCGCGUGAGUGAAGAAGGCCUUCGGGUCGUAAAACGCUGUUAUAAGAGAAGAACAAAUUGUAGAGUAACUGCUACAGUCUUGACGGUAUCUUAUCAGAAAGCCACGGCUAACUACGUGCCAGCAGCCGCCGUAA